UUUUAGCAUGGAAUAAUGGAAUAGGACGUGUGGUUCUAUUUUGUUGGUUUCUAGGACCGCCGUAAUGAUUAAUAGGGACAGUCGGGGGCACCAGUAUUCAAUUGUCAGAGGUGAAAUUCUUGGAUCUAUUGAAGACUAACUACUGCGAAAGCAUUUGCCAAGGAUGUUUUCAUUGAUAAGGAACGAAAGUUAGGGGAUCGAAGACGAUCAGAUACCGUCGUAGUCUUAACUAUAAACUAUGCCGGCCAGGGAUCGGACGAUGUUAUUUCUUGACGCGUUCGGCACCUUUCGAGAAAUCAAAGUGCUUGGGCUCCAGGGGGAGUAUGGUCGCAAGGCUGAAACUUAAAGAAAUUGACGGAAGGGCACCACCAGGGGUGGAACCUGCGGCUUAAUUUGACUCAACACGGGGAAACUCACCAGGUCCAGACACAGUGAGGAUUGACAGAUUGAGAGCUCUUUCUUGAUUCUGUGGGUGGUUGUGCAUGGCCGUUCUUAGUUGGUGGAGUGAUUUGUCUGCUUAAUUGCGAUAACGAACGAGACCUUAACCUGCUAAAUAGCCCGUACUGCUUCGGCAGUUCGCCGGCUUCUUAGAGGGACUAUCGGCUCAAGCCGACGGAAGUUUGAGGCAAUAACAGGUCUGUGAUGCCCUUAGAUGUCCUGGGCCGCACGCGCGUUACACUGACAGGGCCAGCGAGUACCUCCUUGACCGAAAGGUCCGGGUAAUCUUGUUAAACUCUGUCGUGCUGGGGAUAGAGCAUUGCAAUAAUCACU
Molecule: ribosomal RNA, 771 nt
Filed under: uncultured fungus
Lineage: Eukaryota; Fungi
Description: SSU rRNA
Rfam family: Eukaryotic small subunit ribosomal RNA
Source: RNAcentral